UUACCAGAGUACUAUGAAUGUUUAAAAAUUUAAAACUCAAAGAACUUGGCGGUGUUUUAGACCACCCAGGGGAACCUGUCUCGUAAUCGAUAAUCCACGUUGUACCUGACCUCUUUUUGUUUUCAGUUUGUAUACCGUUGUCGUCAGGUAACUUUUUAGAAACUAGAAGUUAGCAAUUAAAAUAUUGGUAAUUUAGUAUGUCAAAUCAAGGUGCAGCUAAUAAAGAGGGGAGGAUGGGUUACAAUUAUAUAAUUCAUAAUGACGGAUAAGUAUAUGGAUAUGUGUUAAGUUAUAAGGAGGACUUGGAAGUAAAUUAGGAUAUAUAAAUAAUUUGAAUUAGGCUCUGAGACGUGU
Molecule: ribosomal RNA, 354 nt
Filed under: Myurella amoena
Lineage: Eukaryota; Metazoa; Mollusca; Gastropoda; Neogastropoda; Terebridae
Description: partial 12S ribosomal RNA
Source: RNAcentral